CCUAAGGUAGCGUAAUCAUUUGGCUUUUAAAUGGAGUCAGGUAUGAAUGGGAUCACCUGGUGAUACUGUCUCUGAGUUGUUUUAUUUAAUUUACUGUUCAAGUGAAAAAGCUUGAAUUUUGUUUAAAGGGACGAGAAGACCCUUAGAAUUUCCUCUCCUAAUGGAGUUUUGCUGGGGCGGCAAGAGAAGAAGUGAAAACUUCUCUGUUCUACAAGCCGAUUAUUUUAAGUGCGAAUAAAUUACCUGAGGGAUAACAGCAUAAUUCUAUUGAUGAGUUUGUGACCUCGAUGUUGGACUAGGAAACUAGCAGGCUAGCCGUUU
Molecule: ribosomal RNA, 321 nt
Filed under: Pteraeolidia ianthina
Lineage: Eukaryota; Metazoa; Mollusca; Gastropoda; Nudibranchia; Facelinidae
Description: partial 16S ribosomal RNA
Rfam family: Archaeal large subunit ribosomal RNA
Source: RNAcentral